RNAcentral lists this ribosomal RNA (394 nucleotides) under uncultured bacterium. RNAcentral describes it as "bacterial SSU rRNA". It matches the Rfam family "Bacterial small subunit ribosomal RNA", at positions 28 to 423 of the family's 1533-position model. The record is from RNAcentral.
GACGAACGCUGGCGGCGUGCUUAACACAUGCAAGUCGAGCGGUAAGGCCCCUUCGGGGGUACACGAGCGGCGAACGGGUGAGUAACACGUGAGCAACCUACCCUCAACUUCGGGAUAAGCCUCGGAAACGGGGUCUAAUACCGGAUAUCACUCUCCUCCUCAUGGUGGGGGGUUGAAAGUUCUGGCGGUUGGGGAUGGGCUCGCGGCCUAUCAGCUUGUUGGGUGGGGUAAUGGCCUACCAAGGCGUCGACGGGUAGCCGGCCUGAGAGGGCGACCGGCCACACUGGGACUGAGACACGGCCCAGACUCCUACGGGAGGCAGCAGUGGGGAAUAUUGCGCAAUGGACGAAAGUCUGACGCAGCAACGCCGCGUGAGGGAUGACGGCCUUCGGUU